Molecule: long non-coding RNA, 1158 nt
Organism: Frieseomelitta varia
Lineage: Eukaryota; Metazoa; Arthropoda; Insecta; Hymenoptera; Apidae
Exons: 4
Source: RefSeq, a predicted model, not a curated record
UCGCAAGUCGAGAUGCCGCAUUCGACAGUCGAACCGAUUCUGCAUUCGCUGUCGGGCCGUAAAAUUUUACGACGUCCUACUCCGUCCUGUCCUCGCAACCCGUCGGACUCACGGCUCGGCCAAGCCAAUGAAAUCCGCUCGUCGCUCGUACAGCUCGUUCGAACGAUCAAUCCUUACCCCGGGGAAAGCAACGGGGAACGGGAUUCGGCCCCUCUCCGCCGUUAUCGUGCACAGCGUACGAUUAACCCUUUCAGCGCUAUGGUUUCGGGAGAAUCGAUCAGUGUAGGUUAUGAACGAGAAUAUAACCUAUAUAUUCAAUUUUGGCUAUGAACUUAUAUAUGGGUUCGUGAACAUCGAGCAGUAUAGGUUAUAAACGAGAAUAUAACCUGUUUAUUCAAUUUUUUUCUAUGAACUUAUAUAUGGAUUCGUGAAAAUCGAGCAAUAUAGGUUAUAAACGAGAAUAUAACCUGUUUAUUCAAUUUUUUUUCUAUGAACUUAUAUAUGGAUUCGUGAAAAUCGAUCAGUAUGGAUUAUGAACGAGAAUAUAACCUAUGUAUUCAAUUUUGACUAUGAACUUAUAUAUGGGUUGGCGAAAAUCGUCAGUAUAGGUUAUGAACAAGAAUAUAAGCUAUGUAUUCAAUUUUUGCUAUGAACUCAUAUAGGUUAGGUCAAGGUUAGGUCAGUAUAGGUUAUGAACAAGAAUAUAAGCUAUGUAUUCAAUUUUUGCUAUGAACUCAUAGAGGUUAGGUCAAGAUUAGGUCAGUAUAGGUUAUGAACAAGAAUAUAAGCUAUGUAUUCAAUUUUUGCUAUGAACUCAUAUAGGUUAGGUCAGUAUAGGUUAUGAAUUUUCGCUAUUUUUGCUAUGAACUCAUAUAGGUUAAGUCAGUAUAGGUUAUGAACAUAUAACUUAUAUAUUCAAUUUCGGCUAUGAACCCAUAUUUGGUUAUAGCCAAUAUAAGUUCACAGCCAUAUUGAUACUAGAUAUUGGUGCUCGACAGGCAAAGUGCCAUUACGUGUCGUGCCUUGCUUUAAGAAAUAUCAUUCUAAAAAAACAGAUUAAACUUCCAAUUUCUUUUCGUCCUCCUCCCCAAGUAUCUGAUUUUUUUGUUCAACAAGAAAAUUGUAAAUACCUAAGUUUUGUAAAUAAUAUUAAUCGAG